UCACAGUCAUCAAGAAAGGCUUCUUUGGAAUUAUCGAGACGAGUGGAUCAAUGAUAGAGCACACAAGGAAACAGAAAAGAAUCUUCACCCGUGUGUCAUAACAGACUGUCCAAAUGAAUUGUCAACAGGCUACAUAACUACAACAAAAAACAGAAAGAACCUAUAGAACAGACAAAGUAAUCGUCUACAACUCCACAUAGCAGCAGGAGAAAAACAAGGCCCACUUGCUGUGAAGAAAGCAGUAAAAAAAAUGUAUAUGUCAAUGAUGUGUGUAUUAUUUAUACCAACAUGAAACAUUAUUGAAAAUUUAUUAGAUUUGUUGACAUCAAAACAAUGCAACUGUAAGUAGAAAAAUAGGGGCAAUACAAAUGACAAAAGAAUUGUCUCCGUCACUUUAGAUAUAUUUUGUGUAAAUAGUCCAUAAUUGUAUAUCAACACUGAUUAGGCUAAGGCACAAUUUGGGAAUAAAUGUGUAGCAUCAAUGUUUGGUGUGUCAGUGAUUGACUAUGUGCAUGUGUUGACCUUAUGCAUGUUACACAUAUGUUAGGUUUAAAGAUAAGUGAUUGACUUUCAUUGACUUCACUAA
Saccostrea echinata is the source of this 586-nucleotide long non-coding RNA. RefSeq lists it as uncharacterized. The record is from RefSeq and is a predicted model, not a curated record. The transcript is spliced from 3 exons. NCBI's taxonomy places the organism in Eukaryota, Metazoa, Mollusca, Bivalvia, Ostreida, Ostreidae.